Molecule: ribosomal RNA, 253 nt
Filed under: uncultured bacterium
Lineage: Bacteria
Description: partial 16S ribosomal RNA
Rfam family: Bacterial small subunit ribosomal RNA
Source: RNAcentral
UACGAAGGGGGCUAGCGUUGCUCGGAAUUAUUGGGCGUAAAGCGCGCGCAGGCGGUUCUUUCAGUCUGAUGUGAAAGCCCACGGCUCAACCGUGGAGGGUCAUUGGAAACUGGAGAACUUGAGUAUAGAAGAGGAAAGCGGAAUUCCACGUGUAGCGGUGAAAUGCGUAGAGAUGUGGAGGAACACCAGUGGCGAAGGCGGCUUUCUGGUCUGUAACUGACGCUGAGGCGCGAAAGCGUGGGGAGCAAACAGG